Non-coding RNA from Pelobates cultripes (western spadefoot toad), 201 nucleotides. Lineage: Eukaryota; Metazoa; Chordata; Amphibia; Anura; Pelobatidae. The record is from the annotation of a GenBank genome assembly.
AGGUUUUCCUGAACAUAUAUGAAUUAUUUAUGUUGAUGGGCAGCACAUUAAAAAUGCAUUCUUGCAAGAUUAUACUAUCCAAAUUAAUAGAGUUUAUAUAUCCUUGCAAAUAAUUUACUAGUUUAUACACAUUACUAGUAAACAAUUAGAUUAUUUUUACACAAGAAAUGAAUCAUUUCUAAAGUGAAUCACAAGAGGGUG